AAAUUGAAGAGUUUGAUCAUGGCUCAGAUUGAACGCUGGCGGCAGGCCUAACACAUGCAAGUCGAACGGUAACAGGAAGCAGCUUGCUGCUUCGCUGACGAGUGG
RNAcentral lists this ribosomal RNA (105 nucleotides) under Escherichia coli. RNAcentral describes it as "partial 16S ribosomal RNA". It matches the Rfam family "Bacterial small subunit ribosomal RNA", at positions 1 to 105 of the family's 1533-position model. RNAcentral also lists the same sequence under 13 other names. Lineage: Bacteria; Pseudomonadati; Pseudomonadota; Gammaproteobacteria; Enterobacterales; Enterobacteriaceae. The record is from RNAcentral.